This 409-nucleotide ribosomal RNA is filed under the name uncultured Nitrososphaerota archaeon. Its description in RNAcentral is "bacterial SSU rRNA". It matches the Rfam family "Archaeal small subunit ribosomal RNA", at positions 452 to 861 of the family's 1478-position model. The record is from RNAcentral. Lineage: Archaea; Thermoproteati; Nitrososphaerota.
CUGGUGUCAGCCGCCGCGGUAAUACCAGCACCUCGAGUGGUCAGGACGUUUAUUGGGCCUAAAGCAUCCGUAGCCGGCUCUGCAAGUCUUCGGUUAAAUCCACCUGCUCAACAGAUGGGCUGCUGGAGAUACUACAGAGCUAGGGAGUGGGAGAGGCAGACGGUAUUCAGUGGGUAGGGGUAAAAUCCUCUGAUCCAUUGAGGACCACCAGUGGCGAAGGCGGUCUGCCAGAACACGUUCGACGGUGAGGGAUGAAAGCUGGGGGAGCAAACCGGAUUAGAUACCCGGGUAGUCCCAGCUGUAAACGAUGCAAACUCGGUGAUGCAUUGGCUUAUGGCCAAUGCAGUGCCGCAGGGAAGCCGUUAAGUUUGCCGCCUGGGAAGUACGGACGCAAGUCUGAAACUUAAAG